This 1111-nucleotide ribosomal RNA is filed under the name uncultured bacterium. RNAcentral's name for it is "bacterial SSU rRNA". It matches the Rfam family "Bacterial small subunit ribosomal RNA", at positions 337 to 1456 of the family's 1533-position model. The record is from RNAcentral.
UCCUGCGGGAGGCAGCAGUAGGGAUUUCGUCAAUGGCGCAAGCCUGAACGAGCAAUGCCGCGUGAGUGAGGAAGUCUUCGGAUCGUAAAGCUCUGUGUAAGGGAAAAAGGGAUAUAAGAGGAAAUGCUUAUAUUUGAUGGUACUUACCAGAAAGUCACGGCUAACUACGUGCCAGCAGCCGCGGUAAUACGUAGGUGGCGAGCGUUAUCCGGAAUGAUUGGGCGUAAAGGGUGCGCAGGCGGCAUGUCAAGUCUGAAGUGAAAGGUACCAGCUUAACUGGUACAGGCUUUGGAAACUGGCAUGCUAGAGGACAGGAGAGGGCGGUGGAACUCCAUGUGUAGCGGUAAAAUGCGUAGAUAUAUGGAAGAACACCAGUGGCGAAGGCGGCCGCCUGGACUGUUACUGACGCUCAGGCACGAAAGCGUGGGGAGCAAAUAGGAUUAGAUACCCUAGUAGUCCACGCCCUAAACGAUGAGGAGCAGGUGUCGGGGGUAGAGCCCCGGUGCCGAAGCCAACGCAGUGACUCCUCCGCCUGGGGAGUAUGCACGCAAGUGUGAAACUCAAAGGAAUUGACGGGGGCCCGCACAAGCGGUGGAGUAUGUGGUUUAAUUCGAAGCAACGCGAAGAACCUUACCAGGCCUUGACAUGGGAUGCGAAGGUGCAGAGAUGCACUGGAGGUUACCAUCCACACAGGUGGUGCAUGGUUGUCGUCAGCUCGUGUCGUGAGAUGUUCAGUUAAGUCUGGCAACGAGCGCAACCCUCGUGAUAUGUUGCUAACAUUCAGUUGAGGACUCAUAUCAGACUGCCGGUACAAACCGGAGGAAGGUGGGGAUGACGUCAAAUCAUCAUGCCCCUUAUGGCCUGGGCUACACACGUACUACAAUGGCAUCUACAAAGGGAAGCGAACCUGUGAAGGGAAGCGAACCCCAGAAAAGAUGUCCCAGUUCGGAUUGAAGUCUGCAACCCGACUUCAUGAAGUUGGAAUCGCUAGUAAUCGCAGAUCAGCAUGCUGCGGUGAAUACGUUCCCGGGCCUUGUACACACCGCCCGUCAAACCAUGGAAGCCGGCAACGCCCGAAGCCGAUGGCAUAACCUGCAAAGGAGUGAGUCGU